Molecule: ribosomal RNA, 445 nt
Filed under: Pichia manshurica
Lineage: Eukaryota; Fungi; Ascomycota; Pichiomycetes; Pichiales; Pichiaceae
Description: eukaryotic LSU rRNA
Rfam family: 5.8S ribosomal RNA (bases 92-244)
Source: RNAcentral
UUCUGUGAUUUUACUUCCACACAUGUGUGAGCGCACAAAACACAUAAACCGUGAGUAAUUUUAGUCGAAAUAAGCAAAAAAAAAAAUACAAAACUUUCAACAACGGAUCUCUUGGUUCUCGCAUCGAUGAAGAGCGCAGCGAAAUGCGAUACCUAGUGUGAAUUGCAGCCAUCGUGAAUCAUCGAGUUCUUGAACGCACAUUGCGCCCGUCGGUAUUCCGGCGGGCAUGCCUGUCUGAGCGUCGUUUCCUUCUUGGAACUUUUGUUAAAAAAGAAAGUUCCAGAGUUGGCCGUGCCACUGGCCCGGCCGAAAAGAAACGUUGCGGACGAAGCGAACUACAUCGGGACGCUUUGGCCGCCGAGCGAAAAUAUAUAUCAUUGAGCUCGACCUCAGAUCAGGUAGGAGUACCCGCUGAACUUAAGCAUAUCAAUAAGCGGAGGAUAGG